CUCAUAUUAAAAGAUAUAAAAUUUUAAUCAAUAACGAGAGUGACGGGCGAUGUGUACACACUUCAGAGCCAAUAUCAGUUAAAUUAAAUAAUUUAAAUUACUAUCAAAUCCGCCUUCAUUAAAAUAUUACAAAAUUAAAUCCAUAAUAAAAAAAAAUUAUUGUAACCCAUCAUACACUUAACUAUAAGCUGCACCUUGACCUGAAAUAAAUUUUAAUAAAAAAACAAGAAAAUUUUUUCUCCAAAAAGAUUUUCUGAUAACGGAGAUAUACAAACAAAUAAAUUAAGUAAAGUAAAUCGUGUACUAUCAAUCAUGAGAUAGGUUCCUCUGAAUGGAAUGAAAUACCGCCAAAUUCUUUGGGUUUAAAGACCUUAACUAAUAAUACCCAGGUAAAACAAAAUUUACAUUUAAAAUAAUA
RNAcentral lists this ribosomal RNA (418 nucleotides) under Locusta migratoria (migratory locust). RNAcentral's name for it is "partial 12S rRNA". The record is from RNAcentral. Lineage: Eukaryota; Metazoa; Arthropoda; Insecta; Orthoptera; Acrididae.